Long non-coding RNA from Lathyrus oleraceus (garden pea), 1010 nucleotides. RefSeq lists it as uncharacterized. The record is from RefSeq and is a predicted model, not a curated record. NCBI's taxonomy places the organism in Eukaryota, Viridiplantae, Streptophyta, Magnoliopsida, Fabales, Fabaceae. The transcript has 5 exons.
AGGGUUUCAAAUUGGUACCUUGGGUUCAAAAGAGGUGUCCCUACGAAAUACUUUUUUGAUGUUCAGACUCGGAUUGCCCUGUUUAUGCUAGAUUCGAAAAGUGAAGAUUGGAGGUGAGGGAAAGUGAAGCUAGUUGAUCCGUUGGACUAUUGCUUUGUUGGGAAACAAUUCUCAGGACAUCCAUGGCUUUAGCAACCUUAGCCUUGAGAGCAUCAGGUGAUUUUAUCAAAUGCAAAACUUCAGGCUGAUCCAUCUCCAAAAGUAUGCCGGUAACCUCCCUGUGGUACCGACGAGCAGAUGAACUGGUUGAGGAAUGGCUUCGGUGUGAUCGGUUAUGGACCAGGGAUACAACUGAAACGGGACCACAAUAGAAUUAGGAUUUUUACAUCUGCUGAUGAGAUCUGAUAUGCCAAUAUCAGUGACAUAAAUACAUCCUUUAAUAUUCAGGUGACACAAUGAAACACAGAAUUUGGAGAUAUACUGGAGACUCAAAUCACUGGCAUUAGCUCUUCCGUCCAAUGAAGGAAAGGACUGGCUGAAGUAAUCAACAGCAUGUUCAAUAAGCAGUCUUCGACACCUUGAGAUAUCCAACUCCUGAACUGCUUCAAAGAUUAAGGUAUCUAACAGUUUUUUGUGGGAAUUCAAAAUUCUCUCUUAUAGGAUGUCCGGAACUAAUACAGAACUGUUCUAUAAUCUUCCUUUGCAUUGGAUCCGUGAAAUAUGAAGCAGGUAUGAGUGACAGAAACAGUAUUGCAGAUGUUAUCUGCGGACAAUUGGAAAGGUCUACUUCCUUUGAAUAUUCUGUAACUCGAAUCCUGAGAUGUUGCAAGUCACUAUAUCCGGAAAUAUCAAGUGAACCUUACAUCAUCUAGGAAUUUCUGGAUGAAGAAUAAAGACUUUCAAUGCUUCAGGAAUUAGGCUGCGCUGAAGGGGUCACUUGUGGUGCAAAGGGCCUUUCGAGAUUUGCUUGGUGUUUAUGGAUGUGAAGUCCAGCACAUGUCUGCAGCAGG